This 179-nucleotide ribosomal RNA is filed under the name uncultured Alphaproteobacteria bacterium. RNAcentral describes it as "partial 16S ribosomal RNA". Lineage: Bacteria; Pseudomonadati; Pseudomonadota; Alphaproteobacteria. The record is from RNAcentral.
CGGGCCCGGAAGGCAGACACCUUAUGAGAAUGCCGCGUGGUGAUGUGCCCUUAGGGUCGUAAAGCUCUUUAACCCGGGAUGAUAAUGACAGUAUCGGGAGAAUAAGCUCCGGCUAACUCCGUGCCAGCAGCCGCGGUAAUACUUCAUGCCAGCAGCCGCGGUAAUAAGGAGCCCGCCCC